This is a long non-coding RNA of Alosa sapidissima (American shad), 360 nucleotides long. RefSeq lists it as uncharacterized. NCBI's taxonomy places the organism in Eukaryota, Metazoa, Chordata, Actinopteri, Clupeiformes, Clupeidae. The transcript is spliced from 3 exons. The record is from RefSeq and is a predicted model, not a curated record.
GACGUUGCCAGCUGAGUGGAAAGUGGAAACCCUGAAACUUUGAUGUCUCAGCCAUUAUUAUACACAAAGUUACCACAUCCUUUCUGAACAUCUUUAUUCAAAAAGCUGACAUAAAAUGGUUUGCUAAGCUAUUAAUUGAAGCCUACUAACCGACACUUUCAGAAGACUUCGUUCCAGUUUUUUCAGUUUCCCUGUAGGUAAUCCAGACAGGCUGGGUGCUGGAGAGGGCUCUGGACUCCUAACUUCAAUUCUCGUCUGUGCAGUCAACACUCAGAAGCAUCACUUCAGCACUGAUUCCAUGAUCUGGAACAUUUUGAAAUCCUACCAGAUGGGGCAGAAGUCAUUGAGCAGUGGCAGCUU